Molecule: ribosomal RNA, 254 nt
Filed under: uncultured bacterium
Lineage: Bacteria
Description: partial 16S ribosomal RNA
Rfam family: Bacterial small subunit ribosomal RNA
Source: RNAcentral
UACAUAGGUCGCAAACGUUAUCCGGAAUUAUUGGGCGUAAAGGAUGCGUAGAUGGUUUGAUAAGUUACUGGUGGGAAAUCGAGGCCCAACCUCGUGGAAGUUAGUAAUACUGUCAAACUUGAGUGCAGGAGAGGUUAACGGAACUUUAUGUGGAGCGGUAAAAUGCGUAGAUAUAUGAAAGAACAUCAAGCGGCGAAGGCAGUUAACUAUUCUGCUACUGACAUUGAGGCAUGAAAGCGUGGGGAGCAAAACGG